This 372-nucleotide long non-coding RNA is filed under the name Malus domestica (apple). Its description in RNAcentral is "long non-coding RNA (MDOM_LNC016364)". The record is from RNAcentral. Lineage: Eukaryota; Viridiplantae; Streptophyta; Magnoliopsida; Rosales; Rosaceae.
AUCCUUUGCUUUUGCAAAGAGGAAUCUACAAAGGUAUAAAUUUCUCAACUCACUUUCUUUUUGAGUUGAGUCUUGGUUCACCUAACUACUAGGCUUUGAAUUUCAUGGGUAAUGUUUUGUUUUGAGUGCAUGCAAGCAUGAUUCCGCCUUUAAUUGUUAAUUGCAUGCUAUAGAUGUUGCUCAAAUGAACAUGUUUUUCACAAAAUUUCCUUCAAGUGGUAUCAGAGCCUAGGUCUAAUAGUUGGUGAAUCCUUUUGGGUUUUGUAGUUCAUAGUCUUUGAUUUGAAUGUUGUAAUUGUUACAAGCUUUAUUCUUGCUUCUUUGAAUGUAAAUUUUGUUAGAGGGAGACUACCUCGUCAAGCAGUACGUGCG